Molecule: long non-coding RNA, 206 nt
Filed under: Bos taurus (domestic cattle)
Lineage: Eukaryota; Metazoa; Chordata; Mammalia; Artiodactyla; Bovidae
Description: long non-coding RNA NONBTAT006964
Source: RNAcentral
UCAACUGGGCAAAGUAUGCAUGAGUAUAUUUCAUAAAUAUAACUAAUGAUGAAUUAGACAGACAUUUUUAAAAGGUAGAGUCAAAGAUUAUCAGACAUGGGCAAAAGAUAAGACACUAUCUAAAUCAGUAAGCACACAUUCUCAAGGUAGAAAAUCUCUCUCUCUCCGCUUUAGCUCAUUAGUUGAGAUCCAAGAUCACAGUUGCU